UAGCAAAACGCAAGAAUGAGUAUGUCAAGAAAAGCAUCACGAGAUCAACAGUUCAACUCUUACCGCCCAAAUUUUAUUCAAAUAAAAUGGAAAGUAGAGAAUUAAGAUUUAAUUCAUUGUUAGUGAAAUUGAUUAGUUGGGUAAAAAUCUUUUUAGGAACGAAGAGAGGCAAAUUUAUAAUGGAAGAGCUGGGACUUGAUGGACGCAUACAUGAAGUAAGUGGAAGCCUUUAAAACUGGUGGAAGAGUAUCAAAAGUAGAUCCUUUGAAGCGCAAACAAUGCAAAGAACCAGUGAAGAGUGCAAUUCUCAAGAACAACAUGAUAAACAGAAGUGGAAAUUUUCUUCUCUCAAAUACAAAUCUCUUGUGUAAAGACUCUUAUCUCGUCCAUUCCUCCGGCUGUGAUAUGGCCAAAGCCAAGAUUUUCUAGACAGUUCAAUGCCAUUUGAUUGCAGAGGCUUUAACUUCAAUGACAUAUCAUAGACGAGGGAAGGCUUCAGCACCACACUGUAGAAUAUGUCCUAAUCACAAUUUUCUUAUGGUUGUUGAUGGAUCUUGUACUUACAAGGUUGGUGAUACUCGGCUUCAUAUGAUUGUUGUGAUUCCUUUCCCAUCCUCUCGCAUGACAUCUUAUCGUAUUGUGAUAGUUAGUUCUCCAACUCAUCCUUUUUUUCCAAAAUGAUAUCCCGUUAACAGGAAGACUUGGCUUGACAUGCUCCUCUCCAUAUUUUAAGGAUGAGUUUAGCAGGAGAAAUAUGGGAACGACUUUUUUCGAUAAAAGCUUGAGUGACACUUAAACAGCGCAUGCUUCUAUAUAUGGUUUCCAGUAACUUUGUUCGACCAUCUGAUACUUUUUUGUUUGAGCGUCAGACAUGUGGUAGAGCUUCAAUAAGCCGGGACAGAACAGAAGAUACUACUUCUUAAAAAGACAGGGAAAUCAUUCAUCCCUUAUUUUUGAUUUACCAGAAUUUGUUUCGUUAGUCAUUUAACAGCCAUGCGAGCAGAUGGAGGAAAUGGAACAAAAGUUAUUUUCCUUGAAGUCGACAGAGGGAGAGGGUGUUAAAGAGGUGAGUGGGAGAUACUAAAUAAGGGAUCGUAGUUGUAAUUUUGUUGAUACUAAAUUUCCGCUACUCUCGCUUCUUUGGAAAGUUCAAGGAUGCAUCCUCCGAUAAGUAAAUGUCUAAUUACCAUGACGAAAAGUUGUACCAAGGAAGCUACUAAGUUGAUCACAAAGCUUUUGGAAAGAUAAGUAAUUUCGUCACCAUAAGAAAUAAAACAGAAUUUAGUAAAGUUUGAGAUACUGAUUAUUAAUCUUUCUUUCAGGUUUCUUAUACUAAGUUGAUCACAAAGCUUUCAGAAAUCAUUCAGGCGGUGGACAUGUCAUGGACCUAUCAGAUUCGAACCAAACUUUGUCAAGUCAGUUUUUGUCUUUCUUUUAGUUAUUCAAGAUUUUAUAGUCUUAGGUGACAUAUCUCAGAGACCAGAGAAUGGUAGAUUGGUUUACUUACUUCCAUGUUUCCUUUUAAUAUUUCUGGUCUGUUGUUUCUUGCAACAGUCUGACUAUGUCUUUGUCAUCAGACUUCACUGAAUAGGUUUUGACUUGAUUGCAACGGUUUUAUCAUCACACCAGAUAGCUACUUUAAUCAGUUUGUCACACAUCAUAUGGUUCAACUGCUACGACAGAAAUCUGGUCAACAUUGAGAAUCAAAAGUUGACUCUCGGUAAAGACAAUGAGAAAAGCUAUGCUAGAAAUGUUCUUUUCAGUCAUGUUCCACCGUGUCUAAUGAGCGAAAGAAUCACCUGUAAACAAGAGGAGAGCUUCUUUAUGAGCAGAAAACAUGAGUAUUUCUGUGAAGACUAGAGAAGAGUGGAAGAACUAGUUCACUGAACAAAAGGCUCCUUACGAAAAGGUGUGAUCCCAUACCAAUGAUUUAAACAAAUGAAAAGUUAAAAGAUAUGUUCUAACUUGUGUGCAUAUUCUUGAUUUGUUCAGUUGUACCAAAGAAGCUACUAAGUUGAUCACAAUGCUUUUAGAAAUCAUUCACGCUGUGGACAGGACAUGGACCUGUCAUAUUUGAGCCAAACUUUCUCAGGUCGUUUUUUGUCUUUCUUUUAUUUAUUUAAGGUAUGUUCUCAUCAAUCCUCUUCUUCUUCUUCUUGGUCUUUUGAGUUUGUUUCUACUGUUUGAUGUUGUGUCUCUUUUCUUUUGCAGCAACAGAUUUCAUAGUCUCUUAUGUGACAUAUCUCAGACACUAGAGAAUGGUAUAUAGGUUUGCAUACUUGAUUAUACAAUUCAAUCUCACUUCCAUGUUUCCUUCUUUACCUACUUCCUUUCUUCAUUCUUUCUCUCUUGUUUUGUUUACUUAUAUGAUACCUUGCUAACUUCCUUCUUACUUUCUUUCUUGCGUUCUUAGUUUUUUUAGUCUUGGCUUAGUUGCGAGCUUCCUUAAUUACAUGCCUCUAAAUUUUCUGUUAAUUUAUUUCCCUUCUUCUUUGGUUACAUGCAUUUGUUUGUUUCCUUCAUUGGUUAUCUGCUUUCUUUUUCUUCCUUGAUUUCUUGUUCCUUGGUGAGUUGUGUGCUUUAUUACUUGUUCCUUGAUUUGUAAUAUACUUGCUUCCUUUUGUAUUUUUUUUUUUUUUUUAUUUUGGUUCUGAAUUGCUAUCUUCCUUCAUUACUUGCUUCUUGAUAUGUUGGUUACUUAUUUUCGUUUUUUCCUUGUAUACUUGCUUUCUUGUUUACUUGCUAACUUCCUUCUUACUUGCUUUCUUUCUUCCUUACUUUCUUACUUGCGUACUUAGUUUUUUUAGUCAUGGCUUAGUUGCGUGCUUCCUUAAUUACAUACCUCUAAAUUUUCUGUUAAUUUAUUUCUUUUUUCUUUGGUUACAUGCAUUUGUUUGUUUCCUUCAUUGGUUAUCUGCUCUCUUUUUCUUCCUUGAUUUCUUCUUCCUUGGUAAAUUGUGUGCUUUAUUACUUGUUCCAUGAUUCGUAAUAUACUUGCUUCCUUUUGUUUUUUUUUUGUUUUUUAAUUCGGUUCCUUGG
Long non-coding RNA from Arabidopsis lyrata subsp. lyrata, 3039 nucleotides. RefSeq lists it as uncharacterized. Lineage: Eukaryota; Viridiplantae; Streptophyta; Magnoliopsida; Brassicales; Brassicaceae. The transcript has 8 exons. The record is from RefSeq and is a predicted model, not a curated record.